Molecule: ribosomal RNA, 414 nt
Filed under: uncultured microorganism
Description: bacterial SSU rRNA
Rfam family: Archaeal small subunit ribosomal RNA
Source: RNAcentral
CAGCAGCCGCGGUAAUACCGGCGGCCCGAGUGGCGGCCACUAUUAUUGGGCUUAAAGCGUCCGUAGCCGGGUUGGUUAGUCUCCCGGGAAAUCUGGCCGCUUAACGGUCAGAAUGCCGGAGGAUACUCCCAGCCUAAGGAGCGGGAGAGGCCGAGGGUAUUCCCGGAGUAGGGGUGAAAUCCUAUAAUCCCGGGAGGACCACCUGUGGCGAAGGCGCUCGGCUGGAACGCGUCCGACGGUGAGGGACGAAGGCCAGGGGAGCAAACCGGAUUAGAUACCCGGGUAGUCCUGGCUGUAAACGAUGCGGACUUUGUGUCGGACAAGCUAUGAGCUUGUCCGGUGCCGGAGGAAAACCGUUAAGUCCGCCGCCUGGGGAGUACGGCCGCAAGGCUGAAACUUAAAGGAAUUGGCGGG